Long non-coding RNA from Mustela erminea (ermine), 1479 nucleotides. RefSeq lists it as uncharacterized. The record is from RefSeq and is a predicted model, not a curated record. The transcript is spliced from 2 exons. Lineage: Eukaryota; Metazoa; Chordata; Mammalia; Carnivora; Mustelidae.
GUCUUGGUCUCCUUUUAAUUCUUUCUCUUCUCUCUCUCUUACUUAGGGUCAGGUAUGGGGUUGCACUCUGCGUCAUGCGCGUGUAAGGGUGUCCACAGGAGGCCAGGAGGUAGGGAUGAGCCAUGGGGUUGGGUGGUGCUCAUUUGCUGCCUGACUGCCUUCGCCCAGGGAAGCUUCUUGUGGCCCCUUGUCCUGAGGGUUGCAUGUGCUUCAUCUUGGACUCCUUAUUUUUAAAUGAGUUUCAGGAAUCCCAUGAGCUCAGCAGAAAUGUAAUACAGGGGGCCCCAGACUGGCGUCACUCCGUGCUGAGGGCCUUGGCUUUGGAAGGGGCUGCUGUCCUUGGGAACUAUUGUCCCAGGCUAACUGAAUGGGGCAGGAAAGGAAGGAGAAAACAAAGGUCCAUACAAGUGUUUAAAAAUAAGAAUAUCAGCACUAAAAAGACAGAGCUUCCUUUUUCAUCCUGGAAAUAUCCUGAGGUCAGUGUUGGGAACAGGGAGGUUUAAAUCAAAAAGUGAUACAAUAUCCAUAAAGUGAUAAAAUAUCCAUCUUAUCCCUCAAUAGAUACAAUACAGUACUUUGCCUGUGAACUUCCACUUGGAUCCUCAUUGUAUUGCCCUUUGGCCAUUGGGAGGGCAGAGAUUCCAAGUGGAGACCUCCACCCCUCAGGCUGCAGUAAGUUCAAGAAGGAGGGGUGGACAGUCCCUCCUUAAUGCUCAGCUAGAGUUGAGCCAGGGAAGGCAGUCGAGAAGGGUGGGUGGGUGAGUGUCUGUGGUUUUCCCUGCCUGCAGCUGGCUUAUCCCCUGAGUGGUCAUUCUCACUGACUCUGCAUUUCAGUUUUCCUUUUAUUUUAAGUGCAAGACAUAUGGUUACAAGUCAUGCAUAUGCGUGCUGGUUCAUCCUGAUUCUGGAAGGUGGACAUUAUCACAAGUCUGGAGUUCCUCUCCUUGGGACAGAUGGGAUAUGGAGUAAAGAAUGAGGUGUCUAGCAUCCAGAUUUUGUUUCCUUGCUGAGGCUGGGAGAAAUGGUAUUUCUUUAGUCUUUGGAACUCCCCGUUAAGAUCUUCCUCCCCUCCAACUGCUCUGUAGAGACUGUUGGUUGGUUCUGUGUUUCUCUAGCAGUCUUUAGGGAAGUGAAUCAGGAUUUCUCUGUCCCUUACUCAUAACCAAGUGUUUGGUUUAUGGCAUAAAACCCAGAUCAUCUCAACUAAGUCACGUAGGACUGCUUCAAAGCCACCUUAUUAGGACUGGUGCAUUUCACAAUAAAUUCUCCAAGGAUGGGGUCUAAGACUCCUCUAGGCAGUCUGGGCUUGUCCUCCUUUCUCCAAAGACCAUUUUUACUUUUCUCAAAUAGGAGAAACAGAAAACUGAAAGAAACAAAAGUGACCCCGAAGCUUGGCAGUCCAGGCAGAGUCAUAAAUAAGUGUUGAAGGAAAUAGACGCUGAAAGUUUGGCAGUCCUUUAUGUAUUGUUUAUUUCACUG